AUGUAGAGAAUAGUAUAGGUGGGAGUACUAAAAAUUUUGAAUUUUUAAAUGGCCUUCGAAUCCUCUUUCUCUAGA
This 75-nucleotide transfer RNA is filed under the name Chlamydosaurus kingii (frilled dragon). Its description in RNAcentral is "tRNA-Gln". Lineage: Eukaryota; Metazoa; Chordata; Lepidosauria; Squamata; Agamidae. The record is from RNAcentral.